Molecule: ribosomal RNA, 274 nt
Filed under: uncultured bacterium
Lineage: Bacteria
Description: partial 16S ribosomal RNA
Rfam family: Bacterial small subunit ribosomal RNA
Source: RNAcentral
AUACGGAGGGUGCAAGCGUUGUUCGGAAUCACUGGGCGUAAAGGGCGCGCAGGCGGUUUGAUAAGUCAGAUGUGAAAGCCCACGGCUCAACCGUGGAAGUGCAUUUGAAACUGUCAGACUUGAGUACUAGAGGGGAAAGUGGAAUUCCCGGUGUAGAGGUGAAAUUCGUAGAUAUCGGGAGGAAUACCGGUGGCGAAGGCGACUUUCUGGCUAGAUACUGACGCUGCGGCGCGAAAGCGUGGGGAGCAAACAGGAUUAGAUACCCUUGUAGUCC